Molecule: ribosomal RNA, 174 nt
Filed under: uncultured bacterium
Lineage: Bacteria
Description: partial 16S ribosomal RNA
Rfam family: Bacterial small subunit ribosomal RNA
Source: RNAcentral
UACUCCUACGGGAGGCAGCAGUGAGGAAUAUUGGACAAUGGAUGGAAAUCUGAUCCAGCCAUGCCGCGUGCAGGAAGACGGCCCUAUGGGUUGUAAACUGCUUUUGUAUGGGAGCAAUAAGGUCUAUGCGUAGACUGAUGAGAGUACCAUACGAAUAAGCAUCGGUCAAUCUCG